Molecule: ribosomal RNA, 253 nt
Filed under: uncultured bacterium
Lineage: Bacteria
Description: partial 16S ribosomal RNA
Rfam family: Bacterial small subunit ribosomal RNA
Source: RNAcentral
UACGUAGGGUGCAAGCGUUGUCCGGAAUUAUUGGGCGUAAAGAGCUCGUAGGCGGUUUGUCGCGUCUGCUGUGAAAACGCGAGGCUCAACCUCGCGCCUGCAGUGGGUACGGGCAGACUAGAGUUCGGUAGGGGAGACUGGAAUUCCUGGUGUAGCGGUGAAAUGCGCAGAUAUCAGGAGGAACACCGAUGGCGAAGGCAGGUCUCUGGGCCGAUACUGACGCUGAGGAGCGAAAGCGUGGGGAGCGAACAGG